This 253-nucleotide ribosomal RNA is filed under the name uncultured bacterium. Its description in RNAcentral is "partial 16S ribosomal RNA". It matches the Rfam family "Bacterial small subunit ribosomal RNA", at positions 524 to 776 of the family's 1533-position model. The record is from RNAcentral.
UACGUAGGGGGCAAGCGUUGUCCGGAUUUAUUGGGCGUAAAGAGCGUGUAGGCGGCUUUACAGGUCCGUUGUGAAAACUCGAGGCUCAACCUCGAGACGCCGGUGGAAACCGUAAAGCUAGAGUCCGGAAGAGGAGAGUGGAAUUCCUGGUGUAGCGGUGAAAUGCGCAGAUAUCAGGAGGAAUACCCGUGGCGAAAGCGGCUCUCUGGGACGGUACUGACGCUGAGACGCGAAAGCGUGGGGAGCAAACAGG